UUUCCGUAGGUGAACCUGCGGAAGGAUCAUUAUUGAAACUUGAAUCGUAGCAUCGAUAACUGUUGCUGACCGGUUAAAAGGUAUGUGCACGUUCGACGUGCUGCGUUCUAUUCAUCCACCUGUGCACCUUUGUAGACUUGAUUAACUUUCGCUCUCGAGCGGUUAGAAGGGUUGCUUUCGAGCUUCCUUUGUCUAUCAAGUCUAUGUCUAUAUAAUCUCUUGUAUGUCUAGAAUUUCUUGUUUAUGUGACGCAAGUCCUUUAAAUCUUAUACAACUUUCAACAACGGAUCUCUUGGCUCUC
This 301-nucleotide unclassified non-coding RNA is filed under the name plant metagenome. RNAcentral's name for it is "partial contains small subunit ribosomal RNA, internal transcribed spacer 1, and 5.8S ribosomal RNA". The record is from RNAcentral.